GCUGGGUGUGGUGGUGCACACCUGUAAUCCCGGAGACUCGGAAGGCUGAGGCAGGAGGAUUGCAAGUUCAAAGCCAGCCUCAGCAACUUAGUGAGGUCCUGUCUCAA
RNAcentral lists this small RNA (107 nucleotides) under Marmota monax (woodchuck). The record is from RNAcentral. Lineage: Eukaryota; Metazoa; Chordata; Mammalia; Rodentia; Sciuridae.